CGGCGGACGGGUGAGUAACGCGUGGACAACCUGCCCUAUGCAGGGGGAUAACAUCCGGAAACGGGUGCUAAUACCGCAUAAGCGCACAGUACCGCAUGGUACGGUGUGAAAAGCUGAGGCGGCAUAGGAUGGGUCCGCGUUGGAUUAGGCAAUUGGCGGGGUAACGGCCCACCAAACCAACGAUCCAUAGCCGGCCUGAGAGGGUGGACGGCCACAUUGGGACUGAGACACGGCCCAGACUCCUACGGGAGGCAGCAG
Molecule: ribosomal RNA, 258 nt
Filed under: uncultured bacterium
Lineage: Bacteria
Description: partial 16S ribosomal RNA
Rfam family: Bacterial small subunit ribosomal RNA
Source: RNAcentral